AUUUAAUUUUUUUUUUUUUUUUUUUAAUUGUAAAACCAAGAUUGCAUUUUUUUUUUUUUUAUUUCAAAAUCGUGAGAAUUUCGAGUAUAAAAGAUCGAAACCAAAAAACUAUUUCACAGUUCUUUAUUUCGAUUUUGGAGCAACUUUUAUACGCUAUUUUUUAAUUGCGCUAUUUUUCAAAUUUCUUUUAAAGCAAAAAAAAAUGAAAUUUCUCUCAUCAACUUUGAUGCUCCUUGUUCUUGGAGUAUUAUUAAAUGCUGUACCAACUUAUCAAGCACCACCUCUUAAAUCUCCUUCUAACAAAGCAUUGUUGAAAUUUGGUGGAAAGUAAAAAGAAAUUUUGCUUUUCAACAUGUUGCACCAUCUACAAGGAAUUUUUUAGAAGAAAUUUUUUUUUGCCGACAUGUAUUUGAAAAAAAAUUUUAUCAAAAUAAAAAUUAUUUUUUAUUCAAUGGAUAUUGAAAAAAAAAAAUGUUUUCAUGAAUAAUAUUGAUUUAAUAAAAAAUUUUUCAAUUCUAGAAAUCAAGUACUUUAUUAUUUACAUAUAUAUUUCGAAAAAAAACCCAAAAAAAUAUUUAAAAAAAAAAUUCAUAUUUUCAAAUAAAAAAAAAAAUUUAUUUACACAAAUAUCUAUAUUUUUAAUUAUUAUUUUUUAUUUAAUUUCAAAAUAAACGCAAAAAUAUUUUUAAAAAAAUCUUUUCUUUUAUUUUUGAAAGAAUUUCUUUUUUUUUAUUUAAAUUUAAAAAAUAACUAUUUUUUUUUUUGUAACAUUAAACUUAUCUGGUUGAUAUAUUUUUUUUAAGAAGCCAAUAAAAAAAAUGUUAGAUAAAAUUUAAUUACUUUUUUUUAUUUAAAAAUCGUGAGGGAUUCUAGUAUAAAAUAAGCAAAAUUCGGUUGGUAAUUUCAUAGUGUCAUUUAAAGUUCGCACAGAAGUUACUGCAAUUUAUAUCUUAGCUAUUUUUCAAAUUUCUUUGAAAGCAAAAAAAUGAAAUUUCUCUCAUCAACUUUGAUGCUCCUUAUUCUUGGAGUAUUAUUAAAUGUUAUACCAACUUAUCAAGCACCACCUAAGACUGCUAUGAAAAGUCUUUCUGAUCAAACAUUACAGAAAAGUGCUGGAAAGUAAAAAGAAGUUUUGAUUUUCAACAUGUUGCACCUUCUACAAGAAAUUUUUUAGAAGAAAUUUUUUUUGCCGACAUGUAUUUGAAAAAAAAAAUUUUAUAAAAAUUAAAAAUUAUUUUUUAUUCAAUGGAUAUUGAAAAAAAAACAUUGUAAAUUAUAUGUCUAAAAAAAAAAAUGUUUUCAUGAAUAAUAUUGAUUUAAUAAAAAAUGUUUCAAUUCUAGUAA
Leptopilina boulardi is the source of this 1344-nucleotide long non-coding RNA. RefSeq lists it as uncharacterized. The record is from RefSeq and is a predicted model, not a curated record. Lineage: Eukaryota; Metazoa; Arthropoda; Insecta; Hymenoptera; Figitidae. The transcript is spliced from 5 exons.